This is a long non-coding RNA of Saccostrea cuccullata (small rock oyster), 591 nucleotides long. RefSeq lists it as uncharacterized. The record is from RefSeq and is a predicted model, not a curated record. The transcript is spliced from 4 exons. Lineage: Eukaryota; Metazoa; Mollusca; Bivalvia; Ostreida; Ostreidae.
GUGGGACUUACACUACGGGAAGAACUCAACAACAACAUUAUCGCGUGGCGUCUAUAAAAAGAAAAAGAUGCCUUAAUGAAAAAUGAAAUGUUCAACAGUAUGCUGGGAAUAAUUUCUAUCUAUUCAAAAAAUGUUGCUCAGGAUAUUUUUGGAAUGAAACUCUAAACGAAUGCACGCGUUGUCAGGUAGGCUAUUAUGCAAAGAAUUGCAGAUUACGGUGCCCAUACCCCAGUUUCGGAGAGGAAUGUCAGAAUGAGUGCAAAUGCAGAGAGGACUUGUGUGAUUUUGCUUUUGGAUGUGUAUUACUCCAAGGUAUUGCUUCAUCCCAAGCUUCCAUAAUAUUACGGAAUACUUCAGCCGAUAAUUCAACUCUGAUACCGUUUUUGGAAGAGACUAGUAGUACCUUAUAUAAAUGGUUAUUUAUAGCAACUCUUGUGCUUUGCAUUUUCCUUGGAAUGUGUGUUUUUAUUUUAGUUCUGAAUCAUUACUGCAAGAAACCCGUUCAUCAUGGAGUAUAUCAAGACAUUUUCAUAGACAGAACUAAUGAGAUGCAGAAUGUUUACGAAUCUUGUAAUUAGGAUGGAAGUUGUA